RNAcentral lists this ribosomal RNA (301 nucleotides) under uncultured bacterium. RNAcentral's name for it is "partial 16S ribosomal RNA". It matches the Rfam family "Bacterial small subunit ribosomal RNA", at positions 509 to 809 of the family's 1533-position model. The record is from RNAcentral.
CAGUAGCCACGGUAAUACGGAGGGUGCAAGCGUUAAUCGGAAUUACUGGGCGUAAAGCGCACGCAGGCGGUCUGACAAGUCAGAUGUGAAAUCCCCGGGCUUAACCUGGGAACUGCAUUUGAAACUGUCAGGCUGGAGUCUUGUAGAGGGGGGUGGAAUUCCAGGUGUAGCGGUGAAAUGCGUAGAGAUCUGGAGGAAUACCGGUGGCGAAGGCGGCCCCCUGGACAAAGACUGACGCUCAGGUGCGAAAGCGUGGGGAGCAAACAGGAUUAGAUACCCGCGUAGUCCCUGUCUCUUAUCC